RNAcentral lists this ribosomal RNA (420 nucleotides) under uncultured bacterium. RNAcentral's name for it is "bacterial SSU rRNA". It matches the Rfam family "Bacterial small subunit ribosomal RNA", at positions 355 to 776 of the family's 1533-position model. The record is from RNAcentral.
UGGGGAAUAUUGGACAAUGGGGGAAACCCUGAUCCAGCGACGCCGCGUGAGUGAAGAAGUAUUUCGGUAUGUAAAGCUCUAUCAGCAGGGAAGAAAAACCACCGAAAGGUGCUUGACGGUACCUGACUAAGAAGCCCCGGCUAACUACGUGCCAGCAGCCGCGGUAAUACGUAGGGGGCAAGCGUUAUCCGGAGUUACUGGGUGUAAAGGGAGCGUAGACGGUAAGGCAAGUCAGAUGUGAAAGCCCGGGGCUCAACCGCGGGACUGCAUUUGAAACUGUCCUACUGGAGUGCAGGAGAGGUAAGUGGAAUUCCUAGUGUAGCGGUGAAAUGCGUAGAUAUUAGGAGGAACACCAGUGGCGAAGGCGGCUUACUGGACUGUAACUGACGUUGAGGCUCGAAAGCGUGGGGAGCAAACAGG